This 468-nucleotide ribosomal RNA is filed under the name uncultured bacterium. RNAcentral's name for it is "partial 16S ribosomal RNA". It matches the Rfam family "Bacterial small subunit ribosomal RNA", at positions 28 to 507 of the family's 1533-position model. The record is from RNAcentral.
GACGAACGCUGGCGGUGGGCUUAACACAUGCAAGUCGAACGGAAAGGCACUGCUUGUGUGGGGUGCUCGAGUGGCGAACGGGUGAGUAACACGUGAGUAACCUGCUCUUGACUUUGGGAUAACUUCAGGAAACUGGGGCUAAUACCGGAUAGGAGAUCCUGCUGCAUGGUGGGGGUUGGAAAGUUUCGGCGGUUGGGGAUGGACUCGCGGCUUACCAGCUUGUUGGUGGGGUAGUGGCUUACCAAGGCUUUGACGGGUCGCCGGCCUGAGAGGGUGACCGGCCACAUGGGGACUGAGAUACGGAGCAGACUCCUACGGGAGGCAGCAGUGGGGAAUAUUGCACAGUGGGCGGGAGCCUGAUGCAGCAACGCCGCGUGCGGGAUGACGGCCUUCGGGUUGUGAACCGCAUUCGCUUGUGACGCAGCGUGAGUGACGGUAAUGGGUAAAGAAGCACCGGCUAACUACGUG